Molecule: long non-coding RNA, 1170 nt
Organism: Esox lucius (northern pike)
Lineage: Eukaryota; Metazoa; Chordata; Actinopteri; Esociformes; Esocidae
Source: Ensembl
CACGAGAGUAAUUGUGGGGAGGAUACGGACACGCCUGGUGCCCAAAUCGAUGACGUAUGGCGCGUAGCUGAGAGUCGAGUGAAUUUGUUUCGUUUGUUUAGUUGCCGAGCUCAGCUCAUGAGGUAAAAUGCAUUUAGUAAAAUGUGUUGUGUUUAGAAAUAGCUUUUGACAGUGUACAGUCUUUAACCACAUACCCCUGAUCAAGUAUGUACUCAACACUAAUAUUGGCAGCCUUGACAAGAUGACAAAGGAGUUUUUUACUUGUCAGGAAAUGGAUUUUACUUCAAGUUCCUGACCCCAAGCACACAUUGACAUCCCCCAACACCCACAAAAGUCCAUGAGUGCCGAUCGAAGGAUCUCAAGGAUCUGGAAGGAUUUUGUACAUUUGGAAGACAAAACAUUGGAUGAUUAUAUUCUCAUAUGACUCUCAUUAACUAUUUUCAAGCAGAGGCUUAACUAAUCUCAAACAGGGUAUUCCUACAUGGCUGCUCUAAUGUGGAUUUCCCAGUACAGCCCGUACUGUCAGAAAAAAGCUUCCAAAAGAGUUCUUCGGCUGCCCCGUGGGAGGGGAAACCUUUGAUUAACCCUUUCUGGGUUCCACAGAAAAACCUUUUCACAUAGGGUCUUAUUUUUACAGAGGCUUCUAUUUAGUUCAGAAAACAAUUUCUCUAUAUGUGUACAAUGAGUAAAAUCUGUGGCAGGCUGUCUAAACAAUUGUUUCAAUUGGUGUUCCUCACGGUUCAUUUCUCUGGCCAACCUCUGUAUUCAUCAAUACUGUUUUUCUUGUUAUCCACCAUUGUGCAAAUGAGACUAUCUUGUAUACAUCUGGCCCCUCACUGAACUCUGUGCUGGCCACACUUCAAAAUGUCUGGGCCUCAUGGGGUUUAAUGUUGGCCACCCCAUGGUAAAACACAGAUUUUCUGCCUCCUUCAGUAGGCUACCAAUCUGCAUUUCUUCAAUUGUAACUAAGUAACAUUUUUGAAAUUGUUGCUUGUUAUGGUUAUAUUAUUGCUCAUUGUAAAUACUGUAUUUCAUUUCAAUUUACUCAAAGUAAACACUGCAGCAUCAGAUUUGAGAAUAUUUUACUUGAAUGUAGCAAUCCUUUCAUGCUUUCAGACUCUGUACCUUGUCAUGGCUGACUGAUAAACUCAGAUUUUAACUAGUUCAACA